GACGAACGCUGGCGGCGUGCCUAAUACAUGCAAGUCGAGCGCAGGAAAUCAUCCGAACCCUUCGGGGGGACGUUGGUGGAAUGAGCGGCGGACGGGUGAGUAACACGUAAAGAACCUGCCCUCAGGUCUGGGAUAACCACGAGAAAUCGGGGCUAAUACCGGAUGGGUCAUCGGACCGCAUGGUCCGAGGAUGAAAGGCGCUUCGGCGUCGCCUGGGGAUGGCUUUGCGGUGCAUUAGCUAGUUGGUGGGGUAAUGGCCCACCAAGGCGACGAUGCAUAGCCGAGCUGAGAGGGUGAUCGGCCACACUGGGACUGAGACACGGCCCAGACUCCUACGGGAGGCAGCAGUAGGGAAUCUUCCACAAUGGACGAAAGUCUGAUGGAGCAACGCCGCGUGAACGAUGAAGGCCUUCGGGUCGUAAAGUUCUGUUGUAAGGGAAGAACAAGUGCCGCAGGCAAUGGCGGCACCUUGACGGUACCUUGCGAGAAAGCCACGGCUAACUACGUGCCAGCAGCCGCAGUAA
This 524-nucleotide ribosomal RNA is filed under the name uncultured bacterium. Its description in RNAcentral is "partial 16S ribosomal RNA". It matches the Rfam family "Bacterial small subunit ribosomal RNA", at positions 28 to 523 of the family's 1533-position model. The record is from RNAcentral.